This 339-nucleotide ribosomal RNA is filed under the name Triticum aestivum (bread wheat). RNAcentral describes it as "partial small subunit ribosomal RNA". The record is from RNAcentral. Lineage: Eukaryota; Viridiplantae; Streptophyta; Magnoliopsida; Poales; Poaceae.
AUGAACGGCCGGCGGCGACGACGGCGAGACGAACGGCCGGCGGCGACGACGGCGAGCGGUGUUGCAGCCCACAGCUCCAAGAAUACGCGGAGGAGGUGGCCCGGGUCGGCGUCGGCGCCAUCCAGCGCGGGCCACGGGCCCGCUUCCAAGUGCGUCAGCGCGCCGACCACCCACGCCGGGUCCUCCAAGUGCCGCUUCCACCGCACCAACUCCCAGGGCCACGGCCACGGCCAGGGCCAGGGAAGCCGCCCUUCUUCGCCCCCUUCACCAGCCGCAGCCAACGCGGUGCCGCGGCACCCGGCCUCGCUGUCCUCGUCCUCCGGCACCGUCGCGACCUAG